RNAcentral lists this transfer-messenger RNA (360 nucleotides) under Akkermansia sp. It matches the Rfam family "transfer-messenger RNA". From Rfam's summary of the family: Bacterial tmRNA, also known as 10Sa RNA or SsrA, is named for its dual tRNA and mRNA-like properties. Its role is to liberate the mRNA from a stalled ribosome. Lineage: Bacteria; Pseudomonadati; Verrucomicrobiota; Verrucomicrobiia; Verrucomicrobiales; Akkermansiaceae. The record is from RNAcentral.
GGGGGCGUCCUGGUUUCGACUGAACACUUGAGAUGCCGGCUGCAUGUGGAGGUUGAACGGCUGGCCUCCUUAAAAGCCGCUCAAAACAUUAAGUGCCUAUUCCAAUAACGAAUACGCCAUGGCUGCCUAAAUUGGCGCCUAGACCCAAGCCCCGACGCCUACUAGGGGGGCGGGUCCUAGCUUAGUAGGCUGGCUUGCAGCGGGGGAACCGCGCUGCCUGCGACAUCCACAGGUUCCUGGCUUGGUGCAAGGCCGACGCAGAGCGGAGCACCGGCGAGAGCAGCUAAUCUGCGUCUGAACAUGGAGAUGCUUGCAUCAACGGUGUUUAGGACAGGGGUUCGACUCCCCUCGCCUCCAGCC